Molecule: long non-coding RNA, 1277 nt
Filed under: Rattus norvegicus (Norway rat)
Lineage: Eukaryota; Metazoa; Chordata; Mammalia; Rodentia; Muridae
Description: long non-coding RNA NONRATT030599
Source: RNAcentral
UAGGGUGCAGAAAAUAUUUGUACCAAUGGUCCCUGCCUCCUGAGUCCCCUUGCCCUAGAGUGUGUCAUCCCACUCUUCCAACCAAUAGGCACCCAACACACCGCUUCCUGUUUUCUUAACUCCUCCCUCUAUCUUGCUCCCAUCCGACCCCUCCCACUUUCAGGAAUUGGAGUUCAGGUUUGCAGUUCUCACACUUACUGUGUGCACCAGUGGCUGCAAAAGUUGGAAACCUGUGUGAGUGCAUUUUCUGCACCUGGCUGUGAAUUGGACCUGGGUGUGUAUGACAUACAGUGCUCUCAUUGGUCCUCUCAUUCAGGACCAGAUCUCAUGAAAUUGGUUAAGGAAGGGAAUGGCAGAGAGAAGGACCCUAAAGCAUCACUUUCUUGCCUUUGGAGAGCCUCUUUGCAUUGGCUUGUGCUGGCUGGCUCUUCUCCUACAGAGACAUUUAAAGGAACUCCACUGUGUCAUUCCUGGGCAGACAGCAUCCACAGUCAAGAUGUGUAUUGCAUGUGGGCUUAGUUACUGGGACAUAAAUGUGGCUUUUCAAUUUCAUCAGACUCACUUCUUAGGCCUUUUAGCUUGAUUUCUGUCAUUUGAGCCCAGGGAUCCACCUCUUUCCCGAAAUCUAAAUUUUCAAACAUCAGAAUCAAGUAACUUUCAGAGUAACUUUCAAGCACCCAUGAAAUGAUUCAUUUCUGCCUUCUGUUUAGGAUUUCCAGAAGUAGGAAGGGAAGGAAAAGAGGGUUGUGCCUUGGACCCAAGAGGAGACCAAAAGCAGAGUGAGGACUAAGAACUGGUCAGUCCUGCUGUGCAGCCCUAGUACAGUUGUAUUGGCUUAGUGCUGUACUCGGUGCUCCUGGGCUCACUAUGCCCUGAAGACAAAUGCCAGAUGGGAAUGGACAGACUGACGGCCUGCACUGAAAGGCAAAGGGUAAUGCCCACCCCAGGGGUGGGACUGUGUCCUGGAUUCCAGUUCCAGGAGAAGCAGUAAGUAGGAGAGAUCACAAACCCAGUCUUUGUAGGAUUCCAAUAUAAAGUAGAAGAGAGCCCUCUGUGGGGUGAUAUUACAAAGUGGUAUCUUGUCUUUUUUUCUUUCUCUCUUUCUUUCUUUCUUUCUUUCUUUCUUUCUUUCUUUCUUUCUUUCUUUCUUUCUUGUUUCGUUUUGUUUCGUUUUAAGAUUCCUUACUGGCUUGCUACCAGCAAUUGAACUGUAUUAUUCUUUAUAGAGCUAGAGCUGUUUGUUGUCUUCUUAAAAUAAACCUUUUUCUGUUAAAACC